UGCAAGUCGAACGAACCCGCAAGGGUGAGUGGCGAAAGGGUUAGUAAUGCGAUCGAAUGUACCCCGAGGUGGAGGAUAGCGGGAAGAAAUUCUCGGUAAUACUCCAUGAUGUCUUCGGACCAAAGUUUUGGCGCCUUGGGAGCAGCGAUCGUCCUAUCAGGUAGUUGGCGGGGUAAAAGCCCACCAAGCCUUAGACGAGUAGCGGGUGUGAGAGCACGGCCCGCAACAUCGGAACUGAGACACUGUCCGGACUCCUACGGGAGGCUGCAGUAACGAAUCUUCCGCAAUGGGCGCAAGCCUGACGGAGCAAUGCCGCGUGCGGGAUGAAGUAUCUCUGGUAUGUAAACCGCUGUCAGGGGGCAGAAACAAUGAUUGCCCCCAGAGGAAGUGGCGACUAACUCUGUGCCAGCAGUCGCGGUAAUACAGAGGCCACAAGCAUUAGUCGGAAUCACUGGGCUUAAAGGGUGCGUAGGUUGUCCAUCAAGUGCUUUGUGAAAUCCCACGGCUCAACCGUGGAACAGCAGGGCAUACUGAUGGACUUGAGGCAAGUAGGGGCUGACGGAACAGUAGGUGGAGCGGUGAAAUGCGUAGAUAUCUACUGGAACGCCGAUGGUGAAGACGGUCAGCUGGGCUUGUCCUGACACUGAGGCACGAAAGCGUGGGGAGCAAACAGGAUUAGAUACCCUGGUAGUCCACGCUGUAAACGAUGCGCACUGGACCGGUGCGGUUUUGACGCCGUAUCGGUCGUAGUAAAAACGAUAAGUGCGCCGCCUGGGGGAGUACGGUCGCAAGAUUAAAACUCAAAGGAAUUGACGGGAGCUCACACAAGCGGUGGAGCAUGUUGCUUAAUUCGAGGCAACGCGAAGAACCUUACCUGGGUUUGACAUGCUUGGAUUAACCUCUUGAAAGAGAGGCCACGCCCUUUGGGUGGAACAAGCACAGGUGCUGCAUGGCUGUCGUCAGCUCGUGCUGUGAAGUGUCGGGUUAAGUCCC
Molecule: ribosomal RNA, 993 nt
Filed under: uncultured bacterium
Lineage: Bacteria
Description: bacterial SSU rRNA
Rfam family: Bacterial small subunit ribosomal RNA
Source: RNAcentral